Long non-coding RNA from Gasterosteus aculeatus aculeatus (three-spined stickleback), 4830 nucleotides. The record is from Ensembl. Lineage: Eukaryota; Metazoa; Chordata; Actinopteri; Perciformes; Gasterosteidae.
CAGGCCCGAAGACGGUAGGGUCCUCUACGUCUUCCUCGAUGCCCUCAUCCUCCUCCAGCGCCUCGAUGGCAGGAGCCUCGUCCGGAGUGUCAGGGUCCAGGCUGACGUCCUCAAGCACUUUGCCGGUCUGCUGGUACAGGUACUCCACUCCGAUGAGCUCCCCUGUCACACAGAGAAGGAUUCAGUAGCGGCUCGUUUUGCUGUCAGUUACGAGAUGAGGUGUUUUCACAUCGCAUACCUGUGUACUCAGCCGGCUCGGUGAAGUCCUUAACCAUCUGAAGACCAAGCACUCUUUGGCUCUUCUGGUUAAGGACGUGCUUGAGGUGGCCACUGUAGGAGUGCAGAGGUCCCAGCCGUCCCUCGACUGCAGCCGGUGGUGGUGCAGCUGCCGCUGCGCGGUCCUCGUUCCACCUCACCAGUCCAUCCACCAGGAACGCCUGGAAGUGCUUGGCGCUGGCCCGGGUCCCUGGGGAAGGGGGGGGGGUUUGGAUCAGACACGAGUUUGCAUUUUCUUAAAGUUCAAAUAGAGAUUACAUUUUGUCACGAGCCGCGAGACACACGCCGGUACCUGGGAUGAACCGGUUAAGGUGGAGGUGGAAGGACUCCAGAGAGGUGGAGCCCCUCGCGCAGCGAUAUACGGGCAGGCUGACUCCUCCCUUGGUCAGCCGGCCCGUCUGGGUGUACAGCUGCACACCUGGCGGGUCCUGGAUGCAGCUGAGGUGGGUCCUCUGCGUACUCCAUAUUUCCUGGAUGCGGAGAGCGUUGAGCAACGGGAUGCCCAGGUUGUUGCGUCCUGCCGGUCCACCGAAGGUGUCGAGGAGCUCCUGGAUGAGGAGGGCCGAUUCCUCAGGCCCCCGUGUCCUGCGGCGGACGUGGAGCCUCCACUCCUCCUUGGAGAUCCUCUGGUUCACCGCGGCGUCCGUCAGUCCAACCAUCCCGUGCUUCCCCUCCAGCUGGGACCGCUUAGCCUCUGCGAGACGGCGUGCAUCUCCGGCGUCCACCUCAAAGAUGCAGUUAGACAGCUGCCUCAUGAAGGUGGGGUACAGCUCGUGGCUCUCGGUGUUGACACCUGAUGCGAAGCGUCGCAUCAGGUGCCAGAUGUCCAGUCUCACCACGAGAUGCUCCCACUCCUGCGAAACAAACAAAACGUUAAACUCUCCAGCCACGGUGCUGAUGCAGCACAACUGUCAACAGUGUCCUUUUCACACCUGAAACAAGACAGCUGUCUUUGACACGCCGUCCCUGUUGCAGCAGUCGCGGUCCACGUAGAUCAGCUGGGGGGGAGGUACCCCGGCGAGUCGGUACCGCCUCAUCAAGCCGGCCGCCAUCCCGGACAGGCCCCCGGCGCUCUCUCGGUGGAGGUGAGGACGCUCAUGAGGACCUGCCCGUGCUCAUUGCCGACGUUGGUAGCCCAGGCGGCCGUGUCGGAGGCGAUACCCGCGAGCUUCUUUGUCACCUGCAGAGAGAUUCUGAGAGUUAAUGUGAGAAACACACAGCAGCUGGAAGGAAAAGAAACUGACAGACUCCACUCGCCUUCUUGGUGGAGUCCAUCUUUUUGAUUGACCCGAAGGUGGACGUGAUCCUGGCCUUGUACUCAUCCAGCCGCGCCAGGACGUCGUAGCUGUACACGGUCAGCAGCCAGACGGGGGAUGGCAGAGGGGGCAUCUCGGGCAGAGUUGCCUGGACCGGGCAACUCCUCCCGUUCCUCCACGGCAACGGGUGCGGACGGCGUCAAGGGGGCGGCUGGAGGCGAGGGAGCCGGUGUCCCGGCAGGCUGAACCACGACGAGGGCUGCAGAAGGUCUAUCUCCUGUGAGGCUUCCAGCAGCUCCUCGUCUGUGGGCUCGUCCAGCAGAGUAGAGACACCGGCUCCCGGAGGAGGAGGUGCUGCUGAGGAGGAGGCGGCGGCGGCGGCGGCAGCAGCAGCAGCGGGUGGUGGCAGGCGCAAAAGGGGAGCCUUUGCAAUCAAGGCUUGAAGGUAAAGGAGAUGUUUGAGUAACGUAAAAGGUUGAGAUUAAGAUGAAUUAUUAUUAAUACUGUUAAUACUGAGAGACCGACAAAGAUUGAGCUGCAUUUACACACCACAAGAGAUCAGGAGGUGAUUUUAAAGAGCGAAAGUGAGGGUGAGAUGAUAACUAGUUAGCCAUGCAGAUGUUGUUGAGCUAGCCAGGCGCUGAUGAAAGCACGGUGAAAAGGACGAUGUUAUUUGCAGAGGUGGGUUAUUGAUCCGAGAUGAUCAUCAGACCGCUGACGCAAAACUUACCAGUCAUCCGCUUUCUUCCUCUGAUCAAGAAACGUUUUAAAGUCAAAUUAAAAAAGCGUCAACAAUGAAUACAAGUACUUUUGUUUGUGAACAAAGUGUUUCCUGUUUAUGACUUUACUCUUUACUUACAGGUCUCCAAGUCAACUACCGCCUUGACCAGCUCUUCAUCUGUAGGCUCCACAGAUGACUGGGUGGAGGACAGAGCUGGUCUGAAGGGGCUGAAGUUGGGGGCUGCAGACACAUGAUGGCAGAAGAUAAACCAGGAACACAGGAGCGUAGAUCAAGUGGAACGUCAGUAAAUAACGGAGGCUGGACUGACCUGUAGAUGCAGGCUUAGGGGCCACCAGCUUCUUCACCUGGGCCUGCAUCUCCACAGCAGAUAGAGAACGCCGACCAGAGACAAACUCCACAAGCGCUGGACCAAGAGGCCUAUUAUGACACACGAUAAAUGAGAGGCAACGACAUUAACAAUGACACAACGUUACAAACAUUUCUUCAGGAACACGUACUGUGAUGCACUCGUGGCUCUCUGGCUUGUGGCCGAUGCAGAGGCUGCGCUGCUGCUGGAGGUGGAGGUAGAUGCUCCAGCAGCAGCUUUCAUCCUCUGCCUGUCUCUGCUGCGCACAUACUGGACGGCGUUCUCCAUCUGCGUCCCUGGAGCUGGUGACGUCCUCCGCAGGUACUUGACAAAACUGCACAAAUCAAACAUUCAACAUGAUUCUGAUUCUCGAUUGUCGCCACAGCAACGCGACGAUAAUAAUAAUAAUAAUGAUCUUUUUCACCGGAUCUUUUUGUUGUCCGUCGACUCGUAGAGGCUCUCCAGGGUCUCAAAUUUGAAGUCCCCGAAGCCAACAAGGGCCCGUCCCUCCUGACCGGGCUGGAGGGAAUUCGCCCGCGCCUCCUCAAAUGCCCGGUGGAACCUGACAGCCUCCACGAAGUCAGGAUAGGCGGAGGAGUAGCGGGUGAAGGCGUCCUGUGAGGUUACAAAGUGAGAUAACACAGUGAGGUUAAAUGCCAUCAUUUCUCUAAUUGUAACUGUCUCCAAGUAUUGUGAAGGACCUUGUUGGCCAUCAGCGGGGACUCAGACUGCGUCCUCUCGCGCUCCUUCUGGUGGGAGGCGACCAGAUUGACGCUGUAGCCCACGUCGUUCUCCAGGAGCCAGUGGAAGGUUCUGCCCUGGUAGCGGCCAAACUGCACCUUCCACCGGCUCAGGACCAGGGCGGCGUUGGCGGUGUCACCGCCCUCGGAGACGACGUGAGCCCAGGCCUCCGAGUCCACCUCCUCCGGCUUCUUUGCCCUGUAAGGCGCCUGGGCACUGGGGGGCUGCUGCGUGAAAAGGGCCUGGGCCGCUGGGGAGGCCUUGAGCAGGAUGGUCCCGUUAGGGGCCCUCCGGAAUGUAGGAUGCUCCAUCUAAACAAAUGGACAUUUUAGCAGCACACGGGAGAAAGAAGACAUGACACGUGACACUCCCAUCUAUGACAUCAGUUAUAUCACAGUAUUUUACUCUUGUCAUUAAAACCUUCCUAUCAGAGGAAACCCUGUGUCUGUCUCUAAAUAUGCACAUGUAUUUUUUUAUGUUUGUUUGUUAUUAUGUUACAUAAAUAACGAAUAAUUCCACAUAAAUGACAAAUAUCACAAUUCUACUGGACUGUUGAAUGACACACAUGAAUAAAACACGUUGCUAUACGUUGUAAUGAAGUAACGUUUAUGACUUGGUAACCCCCGUUGUUGUCAACAUGUGACGCAUGCCCGAUGCUAUAAGUCACGUAAACUCCGUCAGCAAUAAACCACCUAAAUGUCCGUAGAAAGGCAUAAAUGACAAAUAUCACAAUUCUACUGGACUGUUGAAUGACACAUGAAUAAAACACGUUGCUAUACGUUGUAAUGAAGUAACGUUUAUGACUUGGUAACCCCCGUUGUUGUCAACAUGUGACGCAUCCCCGAUGCUAUAAGUCACGUAAACUCCGUCACCAAUAAACCACUUAAACGUCCGCAGAAACACGGAGAGACGGGACCGUUAACUUCCAUACGCGGUUUUAGACCGGGUUCCAUUCACCGUAUUAAAGUAAAGUUAGUAAUAAUAACCAUAAAUCGUGGCUAAAGUUACGCGUGUGACGUCACGGCCGCCGCUAGCAUCGAUCGGCAGCGGGUUCGUUGCGGGCGAACUCAUUUCCAUUCACUCACAUUUAAAUAGUAUUAGUAUCCCUACUUACACUCAUAAUAAACACCGUUUAACAUGCGCCGUAGUACUAAAAAACAACAUAGUUGACAUGUUGUACUUACGUCUGCCGAGUAUUGUUAGAAUGAGACGGCAGUCCAGCGGUGAUCCAACAUGGCGGAUCGAGAAGUCAGAAUUGAAACAAAUAGAGCAUCUGAUUGGACGCGCAAACCGUGGAUCCUUUGAUUGGUCGGCCGAAAAUUGAAACAAGCUCUGAGGCCUCUCAUUGGCUCCUGGGAAAUGAAACAAUUGAAACAGAGAAGAAGGGGCUCCGGGUAGCGCAAGGAUGACACGCAAAUUCGUGAAGCGUUCCUCAUUUUCUUUAAUUCUCUAUAAUCUCUAUGAUAUUC